Molecule: ribosomal RNA, 494 nt
Filed under: uncultured bacterium
Lineage: Bacteria
Description: partial 16S ribosomal RNA
Rfam family: Bacterial small subunit ribosomal RNA
Source: RNAcentral
GACGAACGCUGGCGGCGUGCUUAACACAUGCAAGUCGAACGGUGAAGCGCCUUCCUUUUUGGUGGGUGUGGAUGGGUGGCGAACGGGUGAGUAACACGUGAGUAACCUGCCCCCUUCUUCUGGAUAACGGCAUGAAAGUGAGGCUAAUACGGGAUAUUCUGUGUCUGUCGCAUGAUGGGUCUGGGAAAGAUAUUGUUUCGGUGGGGGAUGGGCUCGCGGCCUAUCAGCUUGUUGGUGGGGUGAUGGCCUACCAAGGCGGUGAGUGGUAGCCGGCCUGGGAGGAUGGACGGUCACACUGGGACUGAGACACGGCCCAGACUCCUACGGGAGGCAGCAGUGAGGAAUAGUGCACAAUGGGCGGAAGCCUGAUGCAGCGACGCCUCGGGAGGGAUGGAGGCCUUCUGGUUGUGAACCUCUUUCGCCAGUGAAGCAGGCCUGCCUCGUAUGUGGGUGGGUUGACGGUAGCUGGAUAAGAAGCGCCGGCUAACUACGUG